Molecule: ribosomal RNA, 218 nt
Filed under: Salmonella enterica
Lineage: Bacteria; Pseudomonadati; Pseudomonadota; Gammaproteobacteria; Enterobacterales; Enterobacteriaceae
Also listed under: 2 other names
Description: partial 23S ribosomal RNA
Rfam family: Bacterial large subunit ribosomal RNA
Source: RNAcentral
GGGUUGUGAGGUUAAGCGACUAAGCGUACACGGUGGAUGCCCUGGCAGUCAGAGGCGAUGAAGGGCGUGCUAAUCUGCGAUAAGCGCCGGUAAGGUGAUAUGAACCGUUAUAACCGGCGAUACCCGAAUGGGGAAACCCAGUGUGAUUCGUCACACUAUCAUUAACUGAAUCCAUAGGUUAAUGAGGCGAACCGGGGGAACUGAAACAUCUAAGUACC